GACGUAGGGGGCCAGCGUUGUUCGGAAUUACUGGGUGUAAAGGGUUCGUAGGCGGUGCGGCAAGUUGGGAGUGAAAUCUCUGGGCUUAACCCAGAGGCUGCUUCCAAAACUGCUGUGCUUGAGUGUGGGAGAGGCGCGUGGAAUUGCAGGUGUAGCGGUGAAAUGCGUAGAUAUCUGCAGGAACACCCGUGGCGAAAGCGGCGCGCUGGACCACUACUGACGCUGAGGCACGAAAGCGUGGGGAGCAAACAGG
This 253-nucleotide ribosomal RNA is filed under the name uncultured bacterium. RNAcentral describes it as "partial 16S ribosomal RNA". It matches the Rfam family "Bacterial small subunit ribosomal RNA", at positions 524 to 776 of the family's 1533-position model. The record is from RNAcentral.